This 85-nucleotide non-coding RNA is filed under the name Pseudomonas chlororaphis. Lineage: Bacteria; Pseudomonadati; Pseudomonadota; Gammaproteobacteria; Pseudomonadales; Pseudomonadaceae. The record is from RNAcentral.
CUUUACGGCAGUUGUGCGCGGGAGGCCUUCGGGCCUGUCGGUUUUCCAUUCCCGGCUCGCCAACCCGCGUACAGCUGCCACCUUU